AGAGUUUGAUCCUGGCUCAGAGCGAACGNNNNNNGGCGUGCCUAACACAUGCAAGUCGAACGUGAACGGGGGCAACCCCUAGUAAAGUGGCGUACGGGUGAAUAACGCGUAGGCAAUCUACCCCAGAGUCUGGAAUAACCGGCCGAAAGGCUGGCUAAUACUAGAUAGAGCGACGGAAUCCGUAAUUGGGUUUUUCGGGAAAGGGAGGGAGCAUCCCCCUUGCUCUGGGAUGGCCUGCGUCCCAUCAGCUAGUUGGUAAGGUAACGGCUUACCAAGGCGAUGACGGGUAGCUGGUCUGAGAGGAUGAUCAGCCACACUGGAACUGAAACACGGUCCAGACUCCUACGGGAGGCAGCAGUGGGGAAUCUUGCGCAAUGGACGAAAGUCUGACGCAGCCACGCCGCGUGAGUGAAGAAGGCCUUCGGGUUGUAAAGCUCUGUCGGAGGGGACGAAAAUGCUUAGGGUUCACAGCCCUAGGAACUGACGGUACCCUUAAAGGAAGCACCGGCUAACUCUGUGCCAGCAGCCGCGGUAAUACAGAGGGUGCAAGCGUUGCUCGGAAUCAUUGGGCGUAAAGGGCAAGUAGGUGGUCUCAUUUGUCUAGGGUGAAAUCCUUGAGCUUAACUCAAGAAGUGCCCUAGAAACGGUGGGACUAGAGUUCUGGAGAGGGUCGUGGAAUUCCCGGUGUAGCGGUGAAAUGCGUAGAGAUCGGGAGGAACACCAGAGGCGAAGGCGGCGACCUGGACAGAUACUGACACUCAACUGCGAAAGCGUGGGGAGCAAACAGGAUUAGAUACCCUAGUAGUCC
RNAcentral lists this ribosomal RNA (808 nucleotides) under uncultured bacterium. Its description in RNAcentral is "bacterial SSU rRNA". It matches the Rfam family "Bacterial small subunit ribosomal RNA", at positions 8 to 796 of the family's 1533-position model. The record is from RNAcentral.